UACGGAAGGCAGCAGUGGGGAAUAUUGCACAAUGGGCGCAAGCCUGAUGCAGCCAUGCCGCGUGUACGAAGAAGGCCUUCGGGGUUGUAAAGUACUUUCAGUCGUGAGGAAGGUGUUAAGGUUAAUAACCUUAGCAAUUGACGUUAGCGACAGAAGAAGCACCGGCUAACUCCGUGCCAGCAGCCGCGGUAAUACGGAGGGUGCGAGCGUUAAUCGGAAUUACUGGGCGUAAAGGGCACGCAGGCGGUUAAUUAAGUUGGAUGUGAAAUCCCCGGGCUUAACCUGGGAAUGGCAUUCAAGACUGGUUAGCUAGAGUCUUGUAGAGGGGGUAGAAUUCCAUGUGUAGCGGUGAAAUGCGUAGAGAUGUGGAGGAAUACCGGUGGCGAAGGCGGCCCCUGGACAAAGACUGACGCUCAUGUGCGAAAGCGUGGGGAGCAAACAGGGAUUAGAUACC
RNAcentral lists this ribosomal RNA (454 nucleotides) under uncultured bacterium. Its description in RNAcentral is "bacterial SSU rRNA". It matches the Rfam family "Bacterial small subunit ribosomal RNA", at positions 340 to 786 of the family's 1533-position model. The record is from RNAcentral.